UUAAUAUUUACGACAAUUUGAGACCUAAUUGCGACUAUCAGGUCAAUUUAUGGCAAUAUGGACGAUAACAACAAAACGAGCAAUGGACGUGGCAGUAAAUUACGAAAGAGAAUCUCACACAUUUCUGAUGAGGAAGAUGAAGGCAAGGUUUUAUCUAUAACUACAUGUAGUACAACUUCCACAAAUUGUCUACAAAAAUAUAAAUAUGGAAGAAGAAUAAAGAAACUGAAGGAAAGUGAUGAAAUAGAAAAUUUUAGAACCCAAGAAUCAAUAAGGGCUAGCAUCUACAGACAAAGUCUUUCCAAUAAGAAGAAAGAAAUGGCUAAUAAAAAAGCUGCAGAAAGAAUGAGACGGUACAGACAGCGCAAAAAGGAAAACGAAAAUUGUAACCCAGCAAAAAGAACUUGAGCAGAGCAAAUCUCAUCUGAAAAGCAAAAAGAAAAACAACGUGAAUAUUGGCGAAUGAAGAAGCAAGAAUGUCGGAAAAGGCAAAAUCUGCAAGACAAAAGAUGUGGUAAUGAAAAACAGAGACAACAAUAUAAACUUCGAGUCUCACUUGUCAACAAUGACAGGAAAGUAAACUCAUCAGAUGAAACAGAAUAUGAUGAUGAUGGUAAGCUUAUAGAAGUAUACAACGAUCACGCUGUAGAAUACGACAAUGAUGGUAAGCUUAUAGAAGUAUACAUCGAUCACGCUGCAGAAUACGAUGAUGAUUGGGAAGCAGAUGAAACACAGUACAAUGAUGGCAAUGGACGUGGCAAUUCAUUACGAAAAAGUAAGAGAAUCUCACACAUUUCUGACGAGGAAGAUGAAGGCAAGGUUUUAACUACAACUUCCGGAAAUUGUCUACAAAUAAAUAAAUAUGGAAGAAGAAUAAAGAAACUGAAGGAAAGAGAUGAAAUAGAAAAUUUUAGAACCCAAGAAUCAAUAAGGGCCAGCAUCUACAGACAAAGUCUUUCCAAUAAGAAGAAAGAAAUGGCUAAUAAAAAAGCUGCAGAAAGAAUGAGACGGUACAGACAGCGCAAAAGAGAAAACAAAAAUUGUAACCCAGAAAAAAGAACUCGAGCAGAGCCAAUCUCAUCUGAAAAGCAAAAAGAUAAACAACGUGAAUAUUGGAGAAUGAAGAAGAAAGAAUAUUGAAAAAGGCAAAAUCCACAAGUUGUAAUGAAAAACGGAGACGACAAUAUAAACUUCGAGUCUCACUCAUCAACAAUGACAGGAAAGUAAACUCAUCAGAUGAAACAGAAUAUGAUGAUGGUAAGCUUAUAGAAGUAUACAACGAUCGUGCUGUAGAAUACGACGAUGAUGGUAAGCUUAUAGAAUUAUACAACGAUCACGCUGUAGAAUACGACGAUGAUGGUAAGCUUAUAGAAGUAUACAACGAUCGUGCUGUAGAAUACGACGAUGAUGGUAAGCUUAUAGAAUUAUACAACGAUCACGCUGUAGAAUACGAUGAUGAUGGUAAGCUUAUAGAAGUAUACAACGAUCGUGCUGUAGAAUACGACGAUGAUGGUAAGCUUAUAGAAGUAUACAACGAUCACGCUGUAGAAUACGACGAUGAUGGUAAGCUUAUAGAAGUAUACAACGAUCGUGCUGUAGAAUACGACGAUGAUGGUAAGCUUAUAGAAGAAUACAACGAUCACCCUGAAGAGUGCGACGGUGACUGGGAACCAGAUUAAUGAUGAAGAAGAAUAUUUGAUCAGCUGAAAUGUUUUGGAAGAAAUAAAAGGCUAAAAAUAAAAAGAGAUAAAAUUGCUUGUAAUAAGGAGAGGUUAGAUGAGAUGUGUUUGCGAUGGUGGAAAACGUCACCCCGUACUAAAAUGAUCUAAGAUGACGAGAAAACACAGUACACAAUAGUGCUGGCACGAUAUAACAUUAAAUUGUAUCGCAAUUCACUUCUCCCGAUUUGUGUAUUGAAUCUCGAGAUUCUGAAUUGAUGUAUCAUGAUUCUUCUUUUAAGCGUUUAUUAUUUUUUUGUCGCUCUUAAUUAUCAACAGGUACACAAACACUCUUAAAUUGUUUUGGUCCUUAUUUCAAUCCACAUCAAAAUCAUGAUAUAAAACAGUUUUAUUUCUUCGACAUCGGUAGGACUAAAAUUAUCAAUUAUUCAUUUAUCCUGUUGUUUUCUUGGUAUAUAUUUACCUGGUUGUGAAUAGUGGUAUGAAUCCCAAUAGGUAUCAUGGCUGCAGUGUCAAUACCCAGCAUUAGUACACAAAUAACAAGAAACUGAAGAUCAGAUGAUACAACUGUUGAAGAAGAAAAUUCUGUAAGGGAAUUUUAUGUACCGAAUUCAGAAGCUAUUUCCACAAGAAACAUACUCAAAAGAGUAUUCUUCAUAGAUAAACGGUUACAAUACAUACAUACUAUGUAAAGAAAACCAACAAACCAUGAAGUUUCUAACUUAGACCAAGAAAAGCAAAAUUCCAUGUUUAUGUGAGAAAUGUGCGAAACAGUAAACAAAGUAUUGCAUAAAAAUUCAUUUAAUGUAUAAAAGACUGCUAUGUCCGUGUCGAACUGACUUUAUAGAAGACUAUCCAUUAUCAAAAUGUUUGAAUCGUCAGUGCAGUAAUUAUGGUGUUUAUUUAUUGGAAAGUUUAAACAGUAAAAGAAAAGUCUAUCUAACAAGAAAGAACAGGUUAAUGAGCAAAUGAGUUGAGAAAAUUUGUGAAUCACUACUCAAGGAUCUCUAAAACCAUUACUGGUACUGGGCGCCCAUUGUUUGUGCAGUUUUUCGUAGUCGGUACGAUAAAAAAACAUCUUUCAAAAAAUGUAUUCCAAUCGCUAAAUAUCGCAGGCUAGUGAUAAGAUCAAGAGUUGAUUAUGGUCUGGAUCAGUUAAUUAAUGUCUAUUUAAUAAUUUACAUAACAUUUCAGGCCUAAAGAAAGACCUGCGACAGGCAGUACAUGUAUGUUUAAACUAUUGGAGAUUGUGUCUUAACAAAGAAAUAUAAAUUACACUGAAGUUUCA
Patella vulgata (common limpet) is the source of this 2967-nucleotide long non-coding RNA. RefSeq lists it as uncharacterized. The record is from RefSeq and is a predicted model, not a curated record. Lineage: Eukaryota; Metazoa; Mollusca; Gastropoda; Patellidae. The transcript is spliced from 3 exons.